CAGGGGCAUCUUAAUCUUCUCUCCCCGAGCGAGCCGCACGGAAAAAAACAGAGCAUCUUCUCUCUCCGCGCGUGAUCGACCUCUGCGGCGAGGAGCUGCCGCCCUCGACCUCUCCAAGUCCGCAGGAAGAAGAUGAAAAUAUGACAGAUGCGGCACUUCAGGAAGAUCUCCAACUCCCUCUUCUUGGUUCUGUUUUGCCGUUGAGAUUAACAGAACAGGGGAGUUCCCUGCUGACCCGCGCGUCUCCACAACGGCCGAGCGAGAGAAGGGAGCGCUUGCUUGCUGCUACAUCCCUCCCGAUUGGCGAGUGGCCUGAAUGUUGUAAGUGGGAGUUGAAAGGUGCAUAUAUGGAUCCUGCUGAGAUUCCGAGAGGGGUCGAUCCCUUUCCCAAGACAACAUCUAUGGAUGGCAAGAUGCGGAGGCAUUCCAAAUCCGCACAGCCGUUGCAGGCAGCGGACGCCGUAUCCAAGGUGCUCGACGAUGAUGACCUUCUCAUCGAGAUCAUUGUUUGACUCGGCCUGCCCACCACCCUCAUCCACGCCAUCCUUGUCUGCAAGCGCUGGUUCUUCAUUGUAUCCGAUAAGGCCUUUCUCCGCCGCUUCCGCAGCCUCCACCCACCCCGUCUCCUCGGCUUCUAUGUCUCCACCAGGUCAACUGACGAGCUCUCACCGGUCCUGCUCCGCCCGCGCUUUGUCCCAAUGCUGCCUCAGCCCCUGGAGCUUGCCACUGCUGUCUGCCUGGCUGAGAACUACAGUCUGGAGGCGUACGAUGAAGAACUUGCAUGCAUUCUUGACUGCCAGAACGACACCAUCCUUCUCCAUGGCUUCCAAGGCAAGAAAAUCUUGUGGGGAGUGCACUGGCCGCUCUGCCCAGAGAGAGGCGUUGUUGAACCGCCGAUGGCCCCAUAUGACCAAUUCGACGACGCUUCAGCUGCAGGCACUUGCGCCAACUUCCUCUUGAAGGAAGAAGGUGACGGGAAGAGCCUCACCUUCAUAUGGUUGUCAAUGGCUUAUCUCAUAGAGGGAAAAAAUAUUCUAUAAAAUACAAGGCGAACAUAUAUGCGCUGCAAGAUGGUCUUUGGCACUGGCGUUCCUCAGCAGCGGCUGUGCUCCCUUCUCCGCGAUCGGAUCUAAAUCCUUUGCUGUCUGGCAAUAAGAUCUAUAUGGAGCACUCCACGAGCAUUGCUGCAUUGAAUUUGACAACCUCAAACUUCUCCUCUAUUCCGCUCCCGAAAGGAAUCGAGCGGUACGUUUGUGAAGAUAUGAUGAUGUCACGGGCCAGUGAUUCAGGGAUUUAUCUCAUACAUCUUGAGAAACUGCAGCUUCGCAUCUGGCUCCAUAGGGGGGACAACAGCGGCAGCAUGAGAAACUGGUUGCUUUUGGAUAACAUUUGCUUGCGUGAGAUGUUGGAUGAUCUGGGGAUGGCAGGUGGUGAGCAGCCUACUCUUUUAAACACAAGCGAAACGGGGGAUAAUCUCCGGUUUGUGUUCUUGAAAAUGGGCCAAUGUGCACUUUACUUGGAUAUUAAACAUAGGGAGCUGCGUAAGGUGUAUGAGGUGACAGAAGAUGACCGAACUUUAGAAUGGAUUUAUCCUUUUAUGAUGACAUGGCCACCCACAUUCCCUGUGCUCAAGAUUUAUCCUGCAAGUCCUAAGAGAACUGUCAUACGAAGAACAAGGACAUUAUGAAGAGUUGUAUGGCCAGAAUGAUGCUGAAAAUAAGGGCACCCGGCAUCAAGGAAGAAUAAGGGCGUUAUGAACAAUGUUGUAGUACCGCCAGGACCUGUUUUCGACCUGUUAUUGCUACCUUCUUUAGAAAAUGGUAAAUCAAAAGGACUCGCCAUGAAAUAGUUAUCUAGAGAUUGAAAGGGAUUAGU
Molecule: long non-coding RNA, 1875 nt
Organism: Triticum urartu
Lineage: Eukaryota; Viridiplantae; Streptophyta; Magnoliopsida; Poales; Poaceae
Source: RefSeq, a predicted model, not a curated record